Molecule: small RNA, 239 nt
Filed under: Microlunatus kandeliicorticis
Lineage: Bacteria; Bacillati; Actinomycetota; Actinomycetes; Propionibacteriales; Propionibacteriaceae
Description: Friedmanniella endophytica sRNA Ms_IGR-5
Rfam family: Actinobacteria sRNA Ms_IGR-5
Source: RNAcentral
ACACGAGAAGGGAGGUGGUCCGAUACAUGAGUGGUUUACGGACGCGUGAGGUGACGGCGAGCUAGCCGUCCGGUCUGACCGGGUCAGCACCUGCUGACCCACCCAUGGCGGACCGGUCGUAGCGGCCGGCUCAAUCCAACGCCAACACCCGAACCCGCGGGCGCCGGAGAGUCCAUCCGGCCGGGGCUUCGACCACCUCCUCGGAGGGAAGCCUCGCCCAGCCCGCGGGUUCGUCCACG